This 429-nucleotide ribosomal RNA is filed under the name Gemmatimonadota bacterium. Its description in RNAcentral is "Gemmatimonadetes bacterium partial 16S ribosomal RNA". It matches the Rfam family "Bacterial small subunit ribosomal RNA", at positions 355 to 776 of the family's 1533-position model. Lineage: Bacteria; Pseudomonadati; Gemmatimonadota. The record is from RNAcentral.
UAGGGAAUCUUCGGCAAUGGACGAACGUCUGCCCGAGCAACGCCGCGUGAGUGAAGAAGGUUUUCGGAUCGUAAAACUCUGUUGUUAGAGAAGAACAAGGACGUUAGUAACUGAACGUCCCCUGACGGUAUCUAACCAGAAAGCCACGGCUAACUACGUGCCAGCAGCCCCGGUAAUACGUAGGUGGCAAGCGUUGUCCGGAAUUAUUGGGCGUAAAGCGAGCGCAGGCGGUUUCUUAAGUCUGAUGUGAAAGCACCCGGCUCAACCGGGGAGGGUCAUUGGAAACUGGGAGACUUGAGGGCAGAAGAGGAGAGUGGUAUUCCAAGGGUAGCGGUGAAAUGCGUAGAUAGAUGGAGGAACACCAGUGGAGAAGGCGGCUCUCUGGUGUGUUACUGACGCUGAGGCUCGACAGCGGGGGGAGCAAACAGG